Molecule: ribosomal RNA, 250 nt
Filed under: uncultured bacterium
Lineage: Bacteria
Description: partial 16S ribosomal RNA
Rfam family: Bacterial small subunit ribosomal RNA
Source: RNAcentral
GGGGGAAUAUUGCACAAUGGGCGAAAGCCUGAUGCAGCGACGCCGCGUGAGGGAAGAAGGCCUUGGGUUGUAAACCUCUGUCUUCGGUGACGAAAAUGACGGUAGCCGAGGAGGAAGCCACGGCUAACUACGUGCCAGCAGCCGCGGUAAUACGUAGGUGGCAAGCGUUGUCCGGAAUUACUGGGUGUAAAGGGAGCGUAGGCGGGAAUGCAAGUUUACUGUGAAAUCUACCGGCUCAACCGGUAUCAGC